This 72-nucleotide transfer RNA is filed under the name Bos taurus (domestic cattle). It matches the Rfam family "tRNA". Rfam says of the family: Transfer RNA (tRNA) molecules are approximately 80 nucleotides in length. Their secondary structure includes four short double-helical elements and three loops (D, anti-codon, and T loops). Further hydrogen bonds mediate the characteristic L-shaped molecular structure. tRNAs have two regions of fundamental functional importance: the anti-codon, which is responsible for specific mRNA codon recognition, and the 3' end, to which the tRNAs corresponding amino acid is attached (by aminoacyl-tRNA synthetases). tRNAs cope with the degeneracy of the genetic code in two manners: having more than one tRNA (with a specific anti-codon) for a particular amino acid; and 'wobble' base-pairing, i.e. permitting non-standard base-pairing at the 3rd anti-codon position. The record is from Rfam by way of RNAcentral. RNAcentral also lists the same sequence under 2 other names. Lineage: Eukaryota; Metazoa; Chordata; Mammalia; Artiodactyla; Bovidae.
UCCCUGUUGGCUCAGUUGGUAAAGAAACCGCCUGCAAUGCAGGAGACCCAGGUUUGAUCCCUGGGCGGGGAA